AACGAACGCUGGCGGCAUGCCUAACACGUGCAAGUCGAACGAGACCUUCGGGUCUAGUGGCGCACGGGUGCGUAACGCGUGGGAACCUGCCCUUAGGUUCGGAAUAACUCCCCGAAAGGGGUGCUAAUACCGGAUAAUGUCUUCGGACCAAAGAUUUAUCGCCUUUGGAUGGGCCCGCGUUGGAUUAGCUAGUUGGUAGGGUAAAAGCCUACCAAGGCGACGAUCCAUAGCUGGUCUGAGAGGAUGAUCAGCCACACUGGGACUGAGACACGGCCCAGACUCCUACGGGAGGCAGCAGUGGGGAAUAUUGGACAAUGGGCGAAAGCCUGAUCCAGCAAUGCCGCGUGAGUGAUGAAGGCCUUAGGGUUGUAAAGCUCUUUUACCCGGGAUGAUAAUGACAGUACCGGGAGAAUAAGCUCCGGCUAACUUCGUG
This 433-nucleotide ribosomal RNA is filed under the name uncultured bacterium. Its description in RNAcentral is "partial 16S ribosomal RNA". It matches the Rfam family "Bacterial small subunit ribosomal RNA", at positions 29 to 507 of the family's 1533-position model. The record is from RNAcentral.